Salvelinus namaycush (lake trout) is the source of this 4077-nucleotide long non-coding RNA. RefSeq lists it as uncharacterized. The transcript is spliced from 3 exons. NCBI's taxonomy places the organism in Eukaryota, Metazoa, Chordata, Actinopteri, Salmoniformes, Salmonidae. The record is from RefSeq and is a predicted model, not a curated record.
ACGUACCCUACUAUUGUCACAAGACUCAACAAGACGAAAAUCAAACACAACAUUAACCAUUCUGACAUGAUGUAGGGUCCUAGAAUGUAGCUUUGGUUGUUGAAACCUUUUCUGCCUUUGCGAUUUGCUAAAACACACUCGGGAAUUGAUUUAUGUUGGUAGCUAACUAGCUGGCUUAAAAGCCAACUAAAGCCACAACUACUUUCACAUUUAAAACGUCCGUUAACUCGAUAACAACUCUCAUUCGAACGUUCGAAUACGGAUUAAUUUCCCUAAACAAGGACCAGUUGAAAACAACUUUCUGGGAUGCACCAUCUGUGGAAACGAAAGUGAGGAGGAACCGCCCCUGCAAGGCAGAGGAGGAGCCGUGACACUCUCCAGGAGCUGAAAAUGCUCCCCAGGGGCCACCUAUGCCACAUGUACAAGGAGGACAAGUUAAUGACAAAGGACAGCCAUGGCCAAUGGGAAAUCAGAAUACCAACAGUUCUUGUUUCCCUCAGAAUCAAAAAUUAAGGUGCCCGACUUCCCUGCUCCAGUGUCCCCAGUAUGAAUUCAAUUAUGAAAAUUAAGAGCUAAUGGUUACUCUUAAUGUUAAUAGACAUGACCUACCAUUUCUAAUAGACACUGGAGUUCACUGUUUCUGUUUAGGAAAACCUGGACAAGUUGUUUGGGCUUCUCUGAGCAAAUCAUCAGUAAUAAUAACAUUGGGACAGCCCAGGAAUGUGUACUGGACAAAAACUUGUUUGAAGAACCUCUGCUUGUCUCUGACAUGGUGCUGUUCAUUGAUGGUUCUGCCUAUAUAGAUCAAAGCCCAGGGAAGAAACAUGUAGGAUUUGCUGUAGUAGAUGUGGAAGGUGAUAUUGAGGUUAUACGGCCCCUACCAGACCAUUUAUCAACGCAAUAGACAGAUUUAUUAGCUCUGAACACAGCUUGUGAAUUGGGGGAAGGGAAGGCCCUUACUGUCUACUCAGACUCAACAUAUGCUAUUGGGGUUUGUUUGUCAUGGUGUGGGAUUUGGAGAGUAAGAGAGUUUACUAAUACCACAGGCACACCUAUUAAAAGCAGACCUUAUGUUGAACCGUUGAUUGAAGCUAUGUGAAACCUAACACAUUGGCUAUCGUUAAGUUUGAGGCACACACGGGUUGGUGUGAUUAUGCUAGAAUUGGUAACAGCAUAGCUGAUGAGGUGGCCAAAUUGGCUGUUUCCUGUUGUCACACACAUGCAUUCUAUUUUUAGUCGUUUGUGUCAUUUGAAACUACUGAUCUUGAGAAACAGCAGCAGGCUGAUAUUCUCAAUCACCAGGUGUGGAGGGAGAGAGGGUGUGCUCUCUGUCCAAGGUCUGGAUUAUGGAUACAUCUUUUGUCUGGCAUGCCCUGUUUACCAUCAACCAUGACCUUUAAUAUUUGCUGAUUGGCUCAUGGAGUGAGCCAUUCGUCAAAGGGGGAUAUUUAGUAGGAGGUGAAGUAGGAGGUGAAAAACCGCCCAAUGGUUUUGCCAAAAUUGUAAUCAGCACAUAAAACAGUUAUCAUUGCAUUUAUCAUUGCGUGACAUGUUUGUUAUAUAACAUAGACAAGGGAACUCCACUGCAACCAGGGAAGUUCCCACUCCAAAAUGACCUUUUGUCCACCUAGCUGUGGAUUUCAUAGACAUGGUUGAGCGAAAAGAAAGAAAGAGAUACUGCCUGGUGAUAAUUGACAGGUUUACCAGGUGGGUGGAACAAUCCCACCGCCAACUGCGUUGCGCGAACAGUUGCAAAAUUGCUAGUUAGGGAAAUUAUACUCAGGUUCGGAGUGCCUGAGUUUUGUCUGCAGGCAAUGGGACCCAUCUCAUAGGAGAUGUGGUUACCCAAAUGGCCAAAAUGAUGGGUGUUGACCAGAAGUUUGUCCAUCUAUCAACCGCGGAGUAACGGGAGUUACUGAGAGGGCUAAUCAGACCCUGAAAGGCUCCCUUACCAAACUAUGCCAUUCCACAGGAAUGACAUGGGUAGAGGGAUUACCUCUUGUCCUCAUGAAAAUGCGCAGCAGCCUGAACAAAAGUAUUGGGUGUACACCUUAUUAAAUGUUAACAAGACGACCAAUGAACACCCCAGGGGUGAGACCUAUGACUGACCAACAGAUAGACAUAACUGAGAUAUAGUGUGACCAUCUUGAGUACAUGAAGGAACUAACUUCUGUUGUAAGUUUUCCCCACUCUCACACUAGGAAAGCAGCAGAACCAAUCCCAGGUGAAGACCCUGACGAGCUACCCAUAAACGUUGGAGACUGGGUGAAACUUAGGGUCCACAAGCGAAAAUGGAACCAACCACAAUGGAUGGGUCCGUUCCAGGUAACCAUGGUAACACUAACAGCCCUGUGGGUAGCGGAGAGGUCUGGCUGGCAUCAUCUCUCCCACUGCAAGCAUCUCCCAGAGUGGAAGCCAUGGAUGAGCGACUGGAGGGAGGGAGAGCAGGGCCCCAAGAACAUCUGAUGGAUGAAGAAGGGCCGAGACCAAAGGCCAGAAGAACCAACAGAGGGUUCAGCCACAAAACCUGAAGAGUCAUCAGAUGUCGAGGACACCAUCAUACACACACACUAUGGUUGUGAAACAAGAACAUCGCAACCAUGGAAACACACAUGCAGGGUAAAACCAACUCUGGGGAACUGCAGCGUGCCAAACGACUCAUCCCAGACAAUCAGGAUGCCUAUGAUCGUGUCCUACACCCGGGUGAGAUUUUUGGUAUGUCAAUCAUACCCUCCUGGGGUGUGGCUGUCCUAGGAAAGUGGGUAAACAAUUUAACCUAUUCUUUAUAGGCCCAUAUGAUCUUAACGCUCCGAGGAUUUAGCCAACUCUCAUUAGAUGUCCAAAAUCUGAAAGCAGUCGUCAGCCGCCAUGAGUUGGCUUUAGAUGAUCUUUUGGCGAAGGAAGGAGGACACUGUAACGUACUAGGUAUUAUUGAUCCUGAAAAUUGUGUUAUGCUCCUCCCUGACUCCUCUGAGAAUAUGACUGCAAUAAUUGAUAAGAUUGCUGAUCUUAGUAAAACUCUCUCAAAAUCUGAAAAAUCUGUUUUUGACAAAAUUGGUGACUGGUUUAAUGCUAAAUUUGGAAAUGUGAUGGGAAAAGUUAUGUUGACUUUGUUUUCAUAGUUUACUCCUAUACAUGUAGGAGGUUUGGUGAUUUUGGUUACUGUUUACAUUUGUAAGAAAAUGACUGUAACUGCUCUUGAAUGUGAUGGUGUUGGUGGAAGCUGAUACAAAUUGUGCUGAAGGUGAUACUGGUGCAUUUCUGGUUUCUCUUAAUCCCAUUGUUUAUUCAACUCGUGUGGUUCUUCCCAGGACUCAGGAGGAAUGGGAGUAUAACCAGACUCACCCCACUCCCGCCAGAAUUCCAGGAACCUCAGAAGUUGUUUCUCCCUUUAGCAGGCCAUCCCUGGGAUCAAAUGGAUCCGGACGAUUUGCCUAAUAUAUUUGAUUUCAGAGGAGAAUAUUAUGAUUGAAGCUGUGAGACUAAUUAGUCUCAAAGGGGGAAAUGUCAGUUUCACCUUGGGGUCAUGAUAGGGGCUGUACCAAAUGUUUGAUGUAUUAUAAUAAUUGAUUAUGCUUAUGUUGUAUUAAUAGAAGGGGAGGGGUUACAAGACCCCUCCCUCCUUACAUUUAUAGGAUCCUAGACUACAGAUUAACAAUAUAUAUAUUCAUUAUAAAGGUUUAAUACUGUUCCACAGUCUUUUCUAAUCUCUGCCUCUUAUAAAGAAACUGUCUGAGAAAUGUGUGACUGAGACAGAACUCUGCAGGGGAGUGUAAGAGAUAACAGACUAGUCAGACAUUCCACUAUAAAUCAACUUGGGGAGUGGACAUUUACUGCUAUUUUAGAUAACACUAAAACUCUUGUUUAUAUCGCUGUGUAGGCAUGGUUUUGGUCUCAUGAGUAGAAGGUAAUGACGUAGGCAGUGACAUCACUAAGAUAUAUGACAGUAGGAAUAAUAAAACAACUCGGACCCUUUUCUAUUUUGCAGAACUUACUCGGAAACAUGCGUGCUAUGUUCCUGUUGUCAACUUCUGUCUGCAAUUGCAUUAAUAAAGGUUUUUGAAUGAUUUAAUUAAA